AUGAGGGACUUCAAACCUCUCCGAGGAUGCCGGUUGCUGAUGAAAUGAGCUGCAAACUGGUGGCUCAUUUGAUCAAAAGAGAAGAUAGUACCUGGCUUCAGUGUCGAGUACCAAUUUCUUGCUGCUCCCUUCAAGGUAGAUGGAAAAGUUCGGCACAGGAUGGCGUUUGGCAUGUCAUGAAGCAGCAUCAUUGUUUGGAAGGCCUCCAGG
This 210-nucleotide long non-coding RNA is filed under the name Elaeis guineensis (African oil palm). RNAcentral describes it as "long non-coding RNA (EGUI_LNC047326)". The record is from RNAcentral. Lineage: Eukaryota; Viridiplantae; Streptophyta; Magnoliopsida; Arecales; Arecaceae.